UGCUCGGUAGCUUAGUUGGUAAGGCGCUCGUCUAGUCUUGGGUUCAAAUCCCAGCCGAGCUC
RNAcentral lists this transfer RNA (62 nucleotides) under Aedes aegypti (yellow fever mosquito). It matches the Rfam family "tRNA". Rfam says of the family: Transfer RNA (tRNA) molecules are approximately 80 nucleotides in length. Their secondary structure includes four short double-helical elements and three loops (D, anti-codon, and T loops). Further hydrogen bonds mediate the characteristic L-shaped molecular structure. tRNAs have two regions of fundamental functional importance: the anti-codon, which is responsible for specific mRNA codon recognition, and the 3' end, to which the tRNAs corresponding amino acid is attached (by aminoacyl-tRNA synthetases). tRNAs cope with the degeneracy of the genetic code in two manners: having more than one tRNA (with a specific anti-codon) for a particular amino acid; and 'wobble' base-pairing, i.e. permitting non-standard base-pairing at the 3rd anti-codon position. The record is from Rfam by way of RNAcentral. Lineage: Eukaryota; Metazoa; Arthropoda; Insecta; Diptera; Culicidae.